UGGGGAAUAUUGGACAAUGGGGGGAACCCUGAUCCAGCCAUGCCGCGUGUGUGAAGAAGGCCUUAUGGUUGUAAAGCACUUUAAGCGAGGAGGAGGGUACUGGUAUUAAUACUACCAGCUACUGGACGUUACUCGCAGAAUAAGCACCGGCUAACUCUGUGCCAGCAGCCGCGGUAAUACAUAGGGUGCGAGCGUUAAUCGGAUUUACUGGGCGUAAAGCGUGCGUAGGCGGCUAAUUGAGUCGGAUGUGAAAUCCCCGAGCUUAACUUGGGAAUUGCAUUCGAUACUGGUUAGCUAGAGUGUGGGAGAGGAUGGUAGAAUUCCAGGUGUAGCGGUGAAAUGCAUAGAGAUCUGGAGGAAUACCGAUGGCGAAGGCAGCCAUCUGGCCUAACACUGACGCUGAGGUACGAAAGCAUGGGGAGCAAACAGG
RNAcentral lists this ribosomal RNA (430 nucleotides) under Pseudomonadota bacterium. RNAcentral's name for it is "Proteobacteria bacterium partial 16S ribosomal RNA". It matches the Rfam family "Bacterial small subunit ribosomal RNA", at positions 355 to 776 of the family's 1533-position model. Lineage: Bacteria; Pseudomonadati; Pseudomonadota. The record is from RNAcentral.